Phrynosoma platyrhinos (Desert horned lizard) is the source of this 72-nucleotide non-coding RNA. The record is from the annotation of a GenBank genome assembly. NCBI's taxonomy places the organism in Eukaryota, Metazoa, Chordata, Lepidosauria, Squamata, Phrynosomatidae.
GCCAGUGUGGUCUAGUGAUUUGAGAGUUGGACUAUGACUCUAGAGACCAGGGUUCAAAUCCUCGCUCAGGCA